AAUAGAUACCCGGGUAGUCCACGCCGUAAACGAUGAGUGCUAAGUGUUAGAGGGUUUCCGCCCGUUUAGUGCUGCAGCUAACGCAUUAAGCACUCCGCCUGGGGAGUACGGUCGCAAGACUGAAACUCAAAGGAAUUGACGGGGGCCCGCACAAGCGGUGGAGCAUGUGGUUUAAUUCGAAGCAACGCGAAGAACCUUACCAGGUCUUGACAUCCUCUGACAACUCUAGAGAUAGAGCGUUCCCCUUCGGGGGACAGAGUGACAGGUGGUGCAUGGUUGUCGUCAGCUCGUGUCGUGAGAUGUUGGGUUAAGUCCCGCAACGAGCGCAACCCUUGAUCUUAGUUGCCAGCAUUUAGUUGGGCACUCUAAGGUGACUGCCGGUGACAAACCGGAGGAAGGUGGGGAUGACGUCAAAUCAUCAUACCCCUUAUGACCUGGGCUACACACGUGCUACAAUGGAUGGUACAAAGGGCUGCAAGACCGCGAGGUCAAGCCAAUCCCAUAAAACCAUUCUCAGUUCGGA
This 523-nucleotide ribosomal RNA is filed under the name uncultured bacterium. RNAcentral's name for it is "bacterial SSU rRNA". It matches the Rfam family "Bacterial small subunit ribosomal RNA", at positions 777 to 1297 of the family's 1533-position model. The record is from RNAcentral.